This 333-nucleotide unclassified non-coding RNA is filed under the name uncultured fungus. RNAcentral describes it as "partial contains small subunit ribosomal RNA, internal transcribed spacer 1, and 5.8S ribosomal RNA". The stretch from base 1 to 73 matches the Rfam family "Eukaryotic small subunit ribosomal RNA", at positions 1759 to 1831 of the family's 1831-position model. Lineage: Eukaryota; Fungi. The record is from RNAcentral.
UCAAACUUGGUCAUUUAGAGGAAGUAAAAGUCGUAACAAGGUUUCCGUAGGUGAACCUGCGGAAGGAUCAUUACCGAGUUAGGGUGUCGACUUUUUCGCGCCCGAUCUCCAACCCUUUGCUUAUUUAACCACACGUUGCUUCGGCGGGCCCGCCUGGCGGGUGAGAACCUACCAGGCCGCCGAGGGGCCACUGUGCCCCUGGCCCGCGUCCGCCGACGGCCAAAAUAUCUAAAUUCUUGCUCAACCGUGACGUCUGAAUUUUUUUCAAAUAAAAAUGAAAUAAAAACUUUCAACAACGGAUCUCUUGGUUCUGGCAUCGAUGAAGAACGCAGC